GAUGAGAGACAGGGGCGUUCGUCGACAGACGGGCUGAGAAGAACCCUUCGAACCUGAACCGGAUAAUGCCGGCGGAGGGAGUCGCUCGGGGAUCGCC
Molecule: non-coding RNA, 97 nt
Filed under: Rhizobium phaseoli
Lineage: Bacteria; Pseudomonadati; Pseudomonadota; Alphaproteobacteria; Hyphomicrobiales; Rhizobiaceae
Also listed under: 1 other name
Description: TPP riboswitch aptamer (THI element)
Rfam family: TPP riboswitch aptamer (THI element)
About the family: Vitamin B(1) in its active form thiamin pyrophosphate (TPP) is an essential coenzyme that is synthesised by coupling of pyrimidine and thiazole moieties in bacteria.
Source: Rfam by way of RNAcentral